UGGCGCACGGGUGAGUAACGCGUGGGUAAUCUACCCUCGAAUUUGGGAUAACUCCGCGAAAGCGGGGCUAAUACCGGAUAAUAUCUCUUUUGUCUCGACCUUUGAGAUCAAAGGUGGCCUCUACAAGUAAGCUACCGUUUGAGGAUGAGCCCGCGUACCAUUAGCUUGUUGGUAGGGUAAUGGCCUACCAAGGCUACGAUGGUUAGCUGGUCUGAGAGGAUGAUCAGCCACACUGGAACUGACACACGGUCCAGACUCCUACGGGAGGCAGCAGUGAGGAAUUUUGCGCAAUGGGGGAAACCCUGACGCAGCAACGCCGCGUGAGUGAUGAAGGCUUUCGGGUCGUAAAGCUCUGUCAAGUGGGAAGAAACUACUUGAAAUUAAUACUUUCUUGUAUUGACGGUACCACUGAAGGAAGCACCGGCUAACUCCGUGCCAGCAGCCGCGGUAAU
This 452-nucleotide ribosomal RNA is filed under the name uncultured bacterium. RNAcentral describes it as "bacterial SSU rRNA". It matches the Rfam family "Bacterial small subunit ribosomal RNA", at positions 96 to 524 of the family's 1533-position model. The record is from RNAcentral.